Ribosomal RNA from Haloquadratum sp. J07HQX50, 122 nucleotides. The record is from Rfam. NCBI's taxonomy places the organism in Archaea, Methanobacteriati, Methanobacteriota, Halobacteria, Halobacteriales, Haloferacaceae.
GAAGGCGGCCAAAGCGGCAGGGAAAGACCCGUACCCAUCCCGAACACGGCUGUGAAGUCUGCAAGCGUCACCGGCGGUACUGGAGUAAGAGAUUCUCUGGGAGUGCGGUGUCGCCGCCUACC